This 492-nucleotide ribosomal RNA is filed under the name uncultured bacterium. RNAcentral's name for it is "partial 16S ribosomal RNA". It matches the Rfam family "Bacterial small subunit ribosomal RNA", at positions 29 to 507 of the family's 1533-position model. The record is from RNAcentral.
AGUGAACGCUGGCGGUAGGCCUAACACAUGCAAGUCGAACGGCAGCACAGUAAGAGCUUGCUCUUACGGGUGGCGAGUGGCGGACGGGUGAGGAAUACAUCGGAAUCUACUUUUUCGUGGGGGAUAACGUAGGGAAACUUACGCUAAUACCGCAUACGACCUACGGGUGAAACCAGGGAUUCUUCGAACUUUGCCCGAUUAAUUAGCCCGAUGUCGGAUUAGCUAGUUGGCGGGGUAAAGGCCCACCAAGGCGACGAUCCGUAGCUGGUCUGAGAGGAUGAUCAGCCACACUGGAACUGAGACACGGUCCAGACUCCUACGGGAGGCAGCAGUGGGGAAUAUUGGACAAUGGGCGCAAGCCUGAUCCAGCCAUACCGCGUGGGUGAAGAAGGCCUUCGGGUUGUAAAGCCCUUUUGUUGGGAAAGAAAAGCAGCAGGUUAAUACCCCGCUGUUCUGACGGUACCCAAAGAAUAAGCACCGGCUAACUUCGUG